GCGGUCGUAGUUCAGUGGUAGAACACCUGGUUGUGGUCCAGGAUGUCGCGGGUUCAAUCCCCGUCGAUCGCCCCA
This 75-nucleotide transfer RNA is filed under the name bacterium. Its description in RNAcentral is "tRNA-His". It matches the Rfam family "tRNA". Rfam says of the family: Transfer RNA (tRNA) molecules are approximately 80 nucleotides in length. Their secondary structure includes four short double-helical elements and three loops (D, anti-codon, and T loops). The record is from RNAcentral.